This 497-nucleotide ribosomal RNA is filed under the name uncultured bacterium. RNAcentral describes it as "partial 16S ribosomal RNA". It matches the Rfam family "Bacterial small subunit ribosomal RNA", at positions 28 to 507 of the family's 1533-position model. The record is from RNAcentral.
GAUGAACGCUGGCGGCGUGCCUAAUACAUGCAAGUCGAGCGAACAGACGAGGAGCUUGCUCCUCUGACGUUAGCGGCGGACGGGUGAGUAACACGUGGAUAACCUACCUAUAAGACUGGGAUAACUUCGGGAAACCGGAGCUAAUACCGGAUAAUAUAUUGAACCGCAUGGUUCAAUAGUGAAAGACGGUUUUGCUGUCACUUAUAGAUGGAUCCGCGCCGCAUUAGCUAGUUGGUAAGGUAACGGCUUACCAAGGCGACGAUGCGUAGCCGACCUGAGAGGGGGAUCGGCCACACUGGAACUGAGACACGGUCCAGACUCCUACGGGAGGCAGCUGUAGGGAAUCUUCCGCAAUGGGCGAAAGCCUGACGGAGCAACGCCGCGUGAGUGAUGAAGGUCUUCGGAUCGUAAAACUCUGUUAUUAGGGAAGAACAAAUGUGUAAGUAACUAUGCACGUCUUGACGGUACCUAAUCAGAAAGCCACGGCUAACUACGUG